AUGAAGAAGAAAAAACGGAGGGAGAGGAAUGAAUUUUUUUUACGUCUUUUUAAUUUCAUCCCUCUGCAAUUUUACAUUUUUGGUUUUCGUCCCUCCUUUUUAGCCACUCAUUAGCUCUCUUGACACAUAAGCAUGCUUUGCCAACUCACCAUUCGCCACGUGUGUCUCCGUCUGCCACCACAACGUUUUUGUAACGGGAGGGACUAAUUGCAAA
RNAcentral lists this long non-coding RNA (214 nucleotides) under Medicago truncatula (barrel medic). Its description in RNAcentral is "lncRNA gene49094". Lineage: Eukaryota; Viridiplantae; Streptophyta; Magnoliopsida; Fabales; Fabaceae. The record is from RNAcentral.